RNAcentral lists this unclassified non-coding RNA (297 nucleotides) under uncultured fungus. RNAcentral's name for it is "sequence contains ITS2". The record is from RNAcentral. Lineage: Eukaryota; Fungi.
AACGCACCUUGCACCCUUUGGUAUUCCGAAGGGUACACCCGUUUGAGUAUCAUUGUAACCUCACCACAUCAACCUAUUGUUGGUGUCGUGGACUUGGAUGCUGCCGUGUUAUGAUGGCUCAUCUGAAAUCUCUGAGUACAUCCUGAUUUGUGGUGUGUUUGGUGUGAUAAAUCUUCACCAAGUUGACCUCUCAGGUCACACCCACUUGACAUGGCUCUGUGCUUCCAACAGUCUCCCAUGUGAGACAGCUCCUGACAAUUUGAUCUCAAAUCGGGUGGGACUACCCGCUGAACUUAA